This is a long non-coding RNA of Daphnia magna, 3609 nucleotides long. RefSeq lists it as uncharacterized. The transcript has 5 exons. Lineage: Eukaryota; Metazoa; Arthropoda; Branchiopoda; Diplostraca; Daphniidae. The record is from RefSeq and is a predicted model, not a curated record.
UCACGAUUGCGAUUAGCUAUAAAAGAAAAUAAGGAGGAAAAACGAGGAAAAUAAAGAAGAAAUAUUAUUUCUCGGUCAUCAGUUUUUCUUUGAAAUUUCAGAUUCAAGUUGGCGCACCUUUGUUCUCAUACUACUCAUUUAUCGUAACCAAACUCAUAUGCAGAGUCCAACCAGUUCUGACAUGUUUGGAAGCUCUAGAAACGAUAAUCUCGAUACUGCGACGUAACUGAGAAAGAAUACGUAAAACUCCAAGGAAAAGAAGUAAGACGAGAAGUUGCGAGUCAAUCGUGGAUCAAACAAAAGUCUUCUCAAGUUUCGUUGGAAGGAGCAUUGGAUUAAGCGACUGAGGCAGACCAUAAAAGCUGAACGGGAUUUCACUGAAGGCUGGCUCCGCUGCUAGGUGAACAACUGCUGUCGGUUGAUUCGCUUCCGUGGUUGCUUAUAAAAUCGUUGGCCUCUUCUCUGCGCAGUGACAUGCACACAUACCUGUGUAGCGGCAUCGAAAGAGACUCCUAUAAUGUUGUCUGCGUGUUCCAACAAUUCGGGACGAAACGUGAUGGCGAUGAACUGAGACUUGUGAGAAAAUUUACCAACCAUGGCGGCCACGUUUGAGCGAUAACUUGCAUCUAGCGCCUAAAGGCCUCAUCAAGAAGAUAAAACGGUGCGCGAUCCAUCAUGAGGAUAGCAAAAAUGAAGGCCAUACUAACGACCGAUUUUUGACCACCCGAAAGACUCUUGAAAUCCCGAAUAUUGGUGGUACUGGAAAACGACACUUUGACAGCAACUCCAGUGACCCGAUCAACGUCAGGAAUCUGGAAAAGAAGAUUGAAAGAAGUUGUUCAGGUUCCCAUUUUACACAUCACCAAAACAAAAUCAAACAAAACAAAAAAGAAAAAAAAAAAAAAAAAAAGACAAAAACUUGCUUGCCUGGGGCUCGCCUUCGUUUUCACUGUCUGAGUCACUUUCUUGGCCGUCAUAAGUCCAUUUUAGAUGGCCUUUCCCCGGGCUAGGAACCAGCGUCUUAAACAUUUUGCGGAACAAUCUGGCCACUUGCAUAAGAGAGUACUGAAUAGCACUAUUUUUCUUGCUCUCGACAUUUUUAAUCAACUCAAUGCACUGACGAUGACUAUUGUUCAAACGAUCCAUUUGUUUGUUCAAAUCCUUCAACUUUUCUGCUGAGAAAGCGUAAUCCAAGGUAGCUUUCUGAUUGACUCCUUCAAAACUCUUAAGCUGUUCUUUAACCUGUUUUCAAAGUGAAGAUUAGCAUGUCUCCAAAAAUAAAUUACUUAUUUCUAUUUUCUUGCUCUAAAUACCAAGGUUAGUUCUCGUUCCAGCUUUUUUACAUUGUAGUCAGCAUAGAGAUCGAUAAUUUUCUUUUCAUUUUCUUCUGUAAAAGUUCCAAGGGUAAUCAGCGUUGAAAUGAUAACCCCCAGAGCAGCUUCUUUCCGCUUGAUGGAUUCUAUUAUCUUUUUUAUCUACGAAAUGGAAAACAACAUAUCAGCGUCAACUACCAAAUCCAACUAGAAAAAUACGCACAGCAUCAUGACGCUUGUCCAACUCUAUUUGUUGUUCGACUCGUCGAUUUUUGGUGGUGUCUAACUCGUUUUUGGUUUCGUCAACGGCCUUGGAUAAACUGACGAUUCUGUCUUCAGUAAUCUCACUUUCUUUACUGUUUUCCUUGAUCCUACAUUCAAGUUUCUUAAGAUGUUCCUCCAUGUCUUUUAUUGCUUGCUGGUGGACUUCGGCUCCAUACAGACCACAGUCGCUUUUUUCACGGAUGGUAUGUUCAAGAUCUUGUUUCGUUCUCAUAAGAUGGUCACUCAGUCGUGACUCUAGAGAAUUCUUCAUACCCUCAAGCUUCAAUCGUGUAGCAUUUACAUUUUUAAGCUUUAUUUUGUCGCUCUGAAUACUUUCAUUCAAUUGGUCAACCUCAGACCUUUCCUCCGAUCCAAGUUCUGUUUCAAAGUCCUAUUAGUACAACAUAAGUCAACUAAAAGUGUUUUUAUUUUUCCAUUCAUGAUCUGAAUUUGUUACCUUCUGAAGCUCGUCCUCUAACAUUUCGACCUUAGCACGGUGCGCUCCCAGCGACAUCAUCAGCUUUCUAGUAGACGCUAAUUUUCCUUCGAGUGCUUGCCUGGAAACAGAUAAGGCACCACGUUGCUUCUUCAGGUCUUCUUCAAGAAGUCCUACUUUACUUUGGCUAAGUUUUGUUUCAAUUUUUUGUAGUUCACUUGCAUUUUCAAUGCAUUUUUGAUCCGCGACUUGGAUUUGCACUUUCCACUUCAUGUAGGUAGGCCAAUUCAGUUUGCUCUACUCCCUUUGAUUGUUUGAAUUCAAAAUAGAUCUUGGAUCCAGAACUAGCAAUACUUCGGUACCCACCAUUAAGAACACCGUUCCGUCGAACCUAAAACUUACUUGGUAGAACAAACAAGACAUGCAACUAAUAAUAUUUUUACCGUGUCUCCUUCCAACGUAACGCAAUCUAUAUCAUACGUUUUCACGGCACGCAAAGCAACAUCGAAGUUCCUACACACAAGCACACGACCGAAAACCUGCUCCACUACAGGCGUCAUUUCGGGGACACAGUUCACUAUGGUCAUCAUAGGCAUCACAUCAUCUUCACCCUGUUUACCAGUUAUUAAUUGCAUUUAAAACCUCUGUAUUGUAAUGAACUGCAUACCCUGAUGAGGCCAAUUGGAGGAGUUCUUUGAAGCCGAUUGCGAGCAUAGAAAUUAAAUGAACCCGGCAAGCCAAAUCCAUUUUUGUAGGGUUCCUUGUUAAUCCAUUUCAGUAUCUCAGAAGCCGCUUUAUCGGUAUCAACAAUACUGUAGAAGAGUCUGAGAUGGGUAAUGCAAGUUUAUAUUCAAAACCAUUUCUAAAAGGGUAUGACGAUCAUUGCAAUAUCCUAACCUGUUCCCCCCCACAGCGUCGAUGGCACAGCAUACUUCAUCUGCACAUGUAAACUGAUCGAUCAGUAAGCCACGAUACUGAGAUGCCAUUUCAAAGGCAAGGGUGCCAUGUCCUUCUUGUUUCAUUUUGUCAAGUGUCAUUGCAAUACCUUCGAAGACUUGGGUUUGCUGUAAUAAUAGAUUUACUCAUUAAGCAUAGCAUCUAGUAGUAACAUAGCAAACUCAAACAGGGUAAAAGUUUGCUCUUACCGAAUACAUGGCACCCCUGAGUUUGCACUUGAGUCCUUCCAGUUUGUCAUACGAUUGUUUCCAAUGAUCACGCACGUCGCAUUGUUUCCGCCAUAAAUCACUUAAGUUAACAAAAGAAAAAAGAAAACUGUCAAGGAAAAGUUCUAAACUGAAAUGCAGCACUUGAUACGAUACUUGCGGGACAUUCGCAAUCUCCUUUGCUCCAGUAAUGUGGCACGGAACCCAGCUGAGCAAUGCAGCAAAUUCUCUCUUGCCCUCUGAGAAAGGUGAUGAAAUUCAUGGGACAGCACAAACUGUAUGGCUUGAAAACAUUUGAGAGGAUUAUUAACACCGGAGAAAGAAGGACCAAAUGGAAUUGGUUUCAGAGAAUACUUACCAUACAUAGCAUUAGUUUUGCCAGCUCCAUUUAUCCCAACUAAACAGAACAAUAAUAAACAUUUUUGACACAUUA